Long non-coding RNA from Astyanax mexicanus (Mexican tetra), 980 nucleotides. RefSeq lists it as uncharacterized. The transcript is spliced from 3 exons. NCBI's taxonomy places the organism in Eukaryota, Metazoa, Chordata, Actinopteri, Characiformes, Acestrorhamphidae. The record is from RefSeq and is a predicted model, not a curated record.
AAUGUUGUCUAUAUUUUAGUGGGGAAUAUUUUAGCUAAUGUUAGCUAGGUUAGCUAAUGUUGUCUAUAUUUUAGUGGGGAAUGUUUUAGCUAAUGUUAGCUAGGUUAGCUAAUGUUAACUACUUUAUUUCAGUGUGAAAUGUUUUAGCUAACGUUAGCUAGGUUCGCUAAUGUUUACUGCUUUAUUUCAGUGGGGAAUGUUUUAGCUAAUGUUAGCUAGGUUAGCUAAUGUUAACUACUUUAUUUCAGUGUGAAAUGUUUUAGCUAACGUUAGUUAGGUUAGCUAAUGUUAACUACUUUAUUUCAGUGGGGAAUGUUUUAGCUAACGUUAGCUAGGUUAGCUAAUGUUAACUACUUUAUUUCAGUGGGGAAUGUUUUAGCUAAUGUUAGCUAGGUUAGCUAAUGUUAACUACUUUAUUUCAGUGUGAAAUGUUUUAGCUAACGUUAGCUAGGUUAGCUAAUGUUAUCUAUAUUUCAGUGGGGAAUGUUUUAGCUAACGUUAGUUAGGUUAGCUAAUGUUAACUACUUUAUUUCAGUGGGGAAUGUUUUAGCUAACGUUAGCUAGGUUAGCUAAUAUUAACUACUUUAUUUCAGUGGGGAAUGUUUUAGCUUACGUUAGCUAGGUUAGCUAACGUUAGCUAAUGUUAACUACUUUAUUUCAGUGUGAAAUGUUUUAGCUAACGUUAUCUAGGUUCGCUAAUGUUUACUGCUUUAUUUCAGUGGGGAAUGUUUUAGCUAAUGUUAGCUAGGUUAGCUAAUGUUAACUACUUUAUUUCAGUGUGAAAUGUUUUAGCUAACGUUAGCUAGGUUAGCUAAUGUUAACUACUUUAUUUCAGUGGGGAAUGUUUUAGCUAAUGUUAGCUAGGUUAGCUAAUGUUAACUACUUUAUUUCAGUGUGAAAUGUUUUAGCUAACGUUAGCUAGGUUAGCUAAUGUUAACUACUUUAUUUCAGUGGGGAAUGUUUUAGCUAAUGUUAGCUAG